CAUGUCAUAUUAAAUAUUUAUUUUCUGCAGACUGACUUCAGAGUAAUUCUUGAGCCAGGAGGGGAGAGGUUAGUGUUCAAAUUGCUGAGAUCUUAGGUCAAAAAGCUACAGAAAAGAAAUCACUUUGAAAAACACAAUGACUUAGAGGCAGUCACCCCUUGCCAGCAAUUCCAAGAGCUGAGGCUUCAUGCCUCAGGACAUGGUGACCAGUUGAAUAAACCAGAGAUUGAGGCAGUGAAGGUUUUUACAGGGGAAGAAACAAGCCUUGGGUGUAUGGGAGCAGGAAAGGAGGUGACAGACUGGAGAAAUGAUAAAGGCCAUUUUGGAAGCCCACAGGGAAGUGGUCUUGGGAAACCUGAAGACAGUGGGAUAUUCAGAAGGCCAAGGGGAUCCAGCUUAUCCUGUUGGGCAAGGUGCUGGGAGUGAAGGCAAGAACUACCGAAGCCACGGAUCAGCUGAGUUACCCGG
Molecule: non-coding RNA, 468 nt
Filed under: Pongo abelii (Sumatran orangutan)
Lineage: Eukaryota; Metazoa; Chordata; Mammalia; Primates; Hominidae
Source: RNAcentral